RNAcentral lists this ribosomal RNA (361 nucleotides) under uncultured fungus. Its description in RNAcentral is "partial 18S ribosomal RNA". The stretch from base 1 to 123 matches the Rfam family "5.8S ribosomal RNA", at positions 32 to 154 of the family's 154-position model. The record is from RNAcentral. Lineage: Eukaryota; Fungi.
AUCGAUGAAGAACGCAGCGAAAUGCGAUAAGUAAUGUGAAUUGCAGAAUUCAGUGAAUCAUCGAAUCUUUGAACGCACCUUGCGCUCCAUGGUAUUCCGUGGAGCAUGCCUGUUUGAGUGUCAUGAAUACUUCAACCCUCCUCUUUCUUAAUGAUUGAAGAGGUGUUUGGUUUCUGAGCGCUGCUGGCCUUUACGGUCUAGCUCGUUCGUAAUGCAUUAGCAUCCGCAAUCGAACUUCGGAUUGACUUGGCGUAAUAGACUAUUCGCUGAGGAAUUCUAGUCUUCGGAUUAGAGCCGGGUUGGGUUAAAGGAAGCUUCUAAUCAGAAUGUCUACAUUUAAGAUUAGAUCUCAAAUCAGGAG